UGACGCUUAACUGGUCUGAGAGGAUGAUCAGUCACACUGGAACUGAGACACGGUCCAGACUCCUACGGGAGGCAGCAGUAGGGAAUAUUGCGCAAUGGGGGAAACCCUGACGCAGCAACGCCGCGUGGAGGAUGACACUUUUCGGAGCGUAAACUCCUUUUCUUAGGGAAGAAUUCUGACGGUACCUAAGGAAUAAGCACCGGCUAACUCCGUGCCAGCAGCCGCGGUAAUACGGAGGGUGCAAGCGUUACUCGGAAUCACUGGGCGUAAAGGGCGCGUAGGCGGAUUAUCAAGUCUCUUGUGAAAUCUAAUGGCUUAACCAUUAAACUGCUUGGGAAACUGAUAGUCUAGAGUGAGGGAGAGGCAGAUGGAAUUGGUGGUGUAGGGGUAAAAUCCGUAGAUAUCACCAAGAAUACCCAUUGCGAAGGCGAUCUGCUGGAACUCAACUGACGCUAAGGCGCGAAAGCGUGGGGAGCAAACAGGAUUAGAUACCCUGGUAGUCCACGCCCUAAACGAUGUACACUAGUUGUUGGGGUGCUAGUCAUCUCAGUAAUGCAGCUAACGCAUUAAGUGUACCGCCUGGGGAGUACGGUCGCAAGAUUAAAACUCAAAGGAAUAGACGGGGACCCGCACAAGCGGUGGAGCAUGUGGUUUAAUUCGAAGAUACGCGAAGAACCUUACCUGGGCUUGAUAUCCUAAGAACCUUUUAGAGAUAAGAGGGUGCUAGCUUGCUAGAACUUAGAGACAGGUGCUGCACGGCUGUCGUCAGCUCGUGUCGUGAGAUGUUGGGUUAAGUCCCGCAACGAGCGCAACCCACGUAUUUAGUUGCUAACGGUUCGGCCGAGCACUCUAAAUAGACUGCCUUCGUAAGGAGGAGGAAGGUGUGGACGACGUCAAGUCAUCAUGGCCCUUAUGCCCAGGGCGACACACGUGCUACAAUGGCAUAUACAAUGAGACGCAAUACCGCGAGGUGGAGCAAAUCUAUAAAAUAUGUCCCAGUUCGGAUUGUUCUCUGCAACUCGAGAGCAUGAAGCCGGAAUCGCUAGUAAUCGUAGAUCAGCCAUGCUACGGUGAAUACGUUCCCGGGUCUUGUACUCACCGCCCGUCACACCAUGGGAGUUGAUUUCACUCGAAGCCGGAAUACUAAACUAGUUACCGUCCACAGUGGAAUCAGCGACUGGGGUGAAGUCGUAACAAGGUAACCGUAGGAGAACCUGCGGUUGGAUC
Molecule: ribosomal RNA, 1227 nt
Filed under: Campylobacter jejuni
Lineage: Bacteria; Pseudomonadati; Campylobacterota; Epsilonproteobacteria; Campylobacterales; Campylobacteraceae
Description: bacterial SSU rRNA
Rfam family: Bacterial small subunit ribosomal RNA
Source: RNAcentral